AUUGAACGCUGGCGGCAUGCCUUACACAUGCAAGUCGAACGGUAACGGGCCUUCGGGUGCCGACGAGUGGCGAACGGGUGAGUAAUACAUCGGAACGUGCCCGAUCGUGGGGGAUAACGAGGCGAAAGCUUUGCUAAUACCGCAUACGAUCUACGGCUGCAAGCAGGGGACCGCAAGGCCUUGCGCGGACGGAGCGGCCGAUGGCAGAUUAGGUAGUUGGUGGGAUAAAAGCUUACCAAGCCGACGAUCUGUAGCUGGUCUGAGAGGAUGAUCAGCCACACUGGGACUGAGACACGGCCCAGACUCCUACGGGAGGCAGCAGUGGGGAAUUUUGGACAAUGGGCGCAAGCCUGAUCCAGCCAUGCCGCGUGCAGGAUGAAGGCCUUCGGGUUGUAAACUGCUUUUGUACGGAACGAAAAGCCUUCUUUUAAUACAGGAGGGUCAUGACGGUACCGUAAGAAUAAGCACCGGCUAACUACGUG
This 482-nucleotide ribosomal RNA is filed under the name uncultured bacterium. RNAcentral describes it as "partial 16S ribosomal RNA". It matches the Rfam family "Bacterial small subunit ribosomal RNA", at positions 30 to 507 of the family's 1533-position model. The record is from RNAcentral.